CCUACGGGUGGCAGCAGUAGGGAAUAUUGCACAAUGGGCGCAACCCUGAUGCAGCCACGUCGCGUGGAUGAUGAAGGUCUUCGGAUUGUAAACUCCUUUUGUUGGAGAGGAUAGUGACGAUAUCUAUCCAUUUAUCCCCGGAUAACUCCGUGUCAGCAGCCGCGGUCAUAUGGAGGGUGCAAGCGUUAAUCGGAAUGACGGGGCGUAAAGUGCGCGUAGGCGGGAUGGCAAGUCAGAUGUGAAAUCCUAUGGCUUAACCAUAGAACUGCAUUUGAAACUGGUAUUCUAGAGUAUGGUAGAGGGAGGUGGAAUUCCAGGUGUAGGGGUAAAAUCCGUAGAGAUCAAGAGGAAUACUCAUGGCGAAGGCGACCUGCUAGAACAUAACUGACGCUGAUGCGCGAAAGCGUGGGGAGCAAACAGGAUUAGAUACCCGAGUAGUC
Molecule: ribosomal RNA, 440 nt
Filed under: uncultured bacterium
Lineage: Bacteria
Description: partial 16S ribosomal RNA
Rfam family: Bacterial small subunit ribosomal RNA
Source: RNAcentral